UACGAGGGGGGCAAGCGUUGUUCGGAAUUAUUGGGCGUAAAGGGUGCGUAGGCUGUGCGGUAAGUCACCUGUGAAAUCUCCGAGCUCAACUCGGAGCCUGCAGGCGAAACUGCCGUGCUGGAGUAUGGGAGAGGUGCGUGGAAUUCCCGGUGUAGCGGUGAAAUGCGUAGAGAUGUGGAGGAACACCAGUGGCGAAGGCGGCGCUCGGGUCUGUAACUGACGCUGAGGCGCGAAAGCGUGGGGAGCAAACAGG
Molecule: ribosomal RNA, 253 nt
Filed under: uncultured bacterium
Lineage: Bacteria
Description: partial 16S ribosomal RNA
Rfam family: Bacterial small subunit ribosomal RNA
Source: RNAcentral